This 165-nucleotide ribosomal RNA is filed under the name uncultured bacterium. RNAcentral describes it as "partial 16S rRNA". It matches the Rfam family "Bacterial small subunit ribosomal RNA", at positions 355 to 511 of the family's 1533-position model. The record is from RNAcentral.
UAGGGAAUCUUCCACAAUGGGCGAAAGCCUGAUAGAGCAACGCCGCGUGUGUGAUGAAGGGUUUCGGCUCGUAAAACACUGUUGUAAGAGAAGAAUGACAUUGAGAGUAACUGUUCAAUGUGUGACGGUAUCUUACCAGAAAGGAACGGCUAAAUUACGUGCUAG